This is a long non-coding RNA of Zingiber officinale, 584 nucleotides long. RefSeq lists it as uncharacterized. The record is from RefSeq and is a predicted model, not a curated record. NCBI's taxonomy places the organism in Eukaryota, Viridiplantae, Streptophyta, Magnoliopsida, Zingiberales, Zingiberaceae. The transcript is spliced from 4 exons.
UUACAAAAAGAAUAAACUAUUUACCUAGAGAAUCCUAUUUCCUUGAUGUUGGAUCUUGGAUCUCAAUUUUCACUUGCAUCUUUGCAGGUCUAUUAUUAUUAUCCAUUUUCUGCUCUUUCUGAUCCGGUUAAACUCUACAAUGAUCUUAGAUGGAACAUUAGUAGACCCCAAGGUUUUGAAGCAGUGAUGCGUGUUAGAUGUAGCUGGGGUCUUGAAGUUCAAGAAUACUCUGGAAAAUUUUGCAAAAGUGUUCCUAGUGAUAUUGAUCUUCCUGUGUGCACUUCUUUAUACCACUGUGUAUGGGCAACGAAGGAUUUGCGUUAUUAAUCUCUCCCUUACUUGCACUGAUAAUAUCAGCAGUUUGCAGCAGUUUGUGCCAAUCCACUAAUUUGGAUGCUCAGUUUACUUGUUUGCUCAAGCAAGGUUGCAGCUGUGAUGAGGUUCCAGUCGCUAGUUCCCACUAGGUGUCGAGGUGGUUUUAUAUUAUCGGACUUGUGUUUCCUUGUCAGUGAACUACAUACUUGUGAUGUAUGUGUUUUGCACUUUGGAUUUUAUAUCGUGCUCGGGUAUGAUGCCCAUGCUUC